Molecule: ribosomal RNA, 328 nt
Filed under: uncultured eukaryote
Lineage: Eukaryota
Description: partial 18S ribosomal RNA
Rfam family: Eukaryotic small subunit ribosomal RNA
Source: RNAcentral
CCCUUAGAUGUCCUGGGCCGCACGCGCGUUACACUGAUGCAUUCAACGAGCUUAUAACCUUGGCCGAGAGGCCUGGGCAAUCUUGUUAACGUGCAUCGUGAUAGGGAUAGAUUAUUGAAAUUAUUAAUCUUGAACGAGGAAUUCCUAGUAAACGCAGAUCAUCAAUCUGCAUUGAUUACGUCCCUGCCCUUUGUACACACCGCCCGUCGCACCUACCGAUUGGAUGGUACGGUGAAGCCUCGGGAUUGUGGUUCUUGCCGCUUUAUUGUGGCGUGACCGCGAGAACUUGUCUAAACCUUAUCAUCUAGAGGAAGGUGAAGUCGUAACA